RNAcentral lists this ribosomal RNA (508 nucleotides) under uncultured bacterium. Its description in RNAcentral is "partial 16S ribosomal RNA". The stretch from base 16 to 370 matches the Rfam family "Bacterial small subunit ribosomal RNA", at positions 43 to 396 of the family's 1533-position model. The record is from RNAcentral.
GACGAACGCUGGCGGCGUGCUUAACACAUGCAAGUCGAACGGAAAGGCCCUGCUUUUGUGGGGUGCUCGAGUGGCGAACGGGUGAGUAACACGUGAGUAACCUGCCCUUGACUUUGGGAUAACUUCAGGAAACUGGGGCUAAUACCGGAUAGGAGCUCCUGCUGCAUGGUGGGGGUUGGAAAGUUUCGGCGGUUGGGGAUGGACUCGCGGCUUAUCAGCUUAUUGGUGGGGUAGUGGCUUACCAAGGCUUUGACGGGUAGCCGGCCUGAGAGGGUGACCGGCCACGUGAGUGACGCGCCGGGCCCCAGCACGGGACGAGGGGGGGCGGAGGAGAACUGUGAGCAACCGGGGGAAGCCGGCUGGAGCGGCGGGGUGUGGGGCAGAGCGGUCUUCUGGUGGUACUGCGUGGGCGCCGGUGAGGAAGCGGGGGUGUGGGUAAUAGGAAAAGAAGCCCCGGCUAAAGACGCGCCAGCCGGAGCGGAAACAGACGAAGACCACAGGUCUGAUC